GCACUAAUGGGGUAGUGGUAACCUGGGUCGUUGCCAUUAUUUAGAAGUACUUCUCGACCCGCCGGGGGUUCGAUUCCCCCUUAGUGCA
Marasmius fiardii PR-910 is the source of this 88-nucleotide non-coding RNA. Lineage: Eukaryota; Fungi; Basidiomycota; Agaricomycetes; Agaricales; Marasmiaceae. The record is from the annotation of a GenBank genome assembly.